AGAGUUUGAUCCUGGCUCAGAUUGAACGCUGGCGGCAUGCCUUACACAUGCAAGUCGAACGGCAGCGCGGACUUCGGUCUGGCGGCGAGUGGCGAACGGGUGAGUAAUACAUCGGAACGUACCCUGUUGUGGGGGAUAACUAGUCGAAAGAUUAGCUAAUACCGCAUACGACCUGAGGGUGAAAGCGGGGGACCGCAAGGCCUCGCGCAGCAGGAGCGGCCGAUGUCUGAUUAGCUAGUUGGUGGGGUAAAGGCCCACCAAGGCGACGAUCAGUAGCUGGUCUGAGAGGACGAUCAGCCACACUGGGACUGAGACACGGCCCAGACUCCUACGGGAGGCAGCAGUGGGGAAUUUUGGACAAUGGGGGCAACCCUGAUCCAGCAAUGCCGCGUGUGUGAAGAAGGCCUUCGGGUUGUAAAGCACUUUUGUCCGGAAAGAAAACGCUCUGGUUAAUACCUGGGGUGGAUGACGGUACCGGAAGAAUAAGCACCGGCUAACUACGUGCCAGCAGCCGCGGUAAUACGUAGGGUGCGAGCGUUAAUCGGAAUUACUGGGCGUAAAGCGUGCGCAGGCGGUUUUGUAAGACAGGCGUGAAAUCCCCGAGCUCAACUUGGGAAUUGCGCUUGUGACUGCAAGGCUAGAGUAUGU
Molecule: ribosomal RNA, 648 nt
Filed under: Ralstonia sp. enrichment culture
Lineage: Bacteria; Pseudomonadati; Pseudomonadota; Betaproteobacteria; Burkholderiales; Burkholderiaceae
Description: bacterial SSU rRNA
Rfam family: Bacterial small subunit ribosomal RNA
Source: RNAcentral